CACUAGUCCAGGAAGUGGGAUGGGGGAGGGGUGCGGAAGAAAGUGGGGGGGGGAGGAGGAGUUUGGGUAUCCAGGGGCAGGUUCCAAGCCUGCAGGAGUUGUCCUGUGCGUGACGUGCAAGCCCAGUUAGUGAGGGUGCACCCGGCGUGAUGGGCCAAGGCAGAUUGGUGAGGUUCAGUCUCAGGAGGAAGCACCAGAGCAGGAGGCUUGAACCAUUUACUAAGGAGGAUUCCCAGAGCACACGGGCUACAGCAAGUGUUUGAUUUCAUGGGUCAGAUAUGGAGCCUGUCCCUGUUACUCUUUACCUUGGUUCUGCUGAAUUCUCUCAGUCAAUUCACAGGCAACUUCAUCUCAGAAGGGGUGUCGUCUCUGAACAGGAACCGGGGAGAGGAUGUUCUGCUCCAUCUAGACCCAAAAGUCGGAAAUGAGACCCAGAGGAUUAAAUGGUAUUUUGUAUCUAAGGAUCUGCUCCUACUCGCCAUCUCUCCAGGGAAGAGCAGGCCAAGCUGGAUCAUUCCCCAGAAGGAGUAUGAGGGGCGGCUGUCUGCCCCUGAUGAUAAGUCUCUGAUGUUAAUGGAUGUGACCUCUGAAGACAGUGGAUGUUAUGAAAUUCACAUAUCAUCAGUCUCAGGAGACAUACAUAUUCAGAAAUUCAAUUUAACUGUCUUUGGUAAAUGAACCACUUGCCCUCUUUUGGACCCCACCCUGCUGUCACACACUUGUACACUUUUAAAAGCUUCCUUCCACUCUCCCUCCUUCAGAUCUUUCCAAAACCUGUCUUGCCCUCCAAUUUUGUGCCUUAAGAAAGGAAGGAGGGGCAGAGGUGCUUUUUCCUUAUGAAAGGGGAAAGUGGGUGGCAGAAACCUGAGGCUAGAAGGCCUGUCCCAAGGUCACACACCCAUGAGCCAGCCCAAAGGAAUGAAUAGGACUGCCUGAAUUACAGACCUACCUUCCCUGGAGAACCACGUAAAAGUUACUGAGCUCCUCAGUCACUCAGUCCUUCCUCAGCCC
Molecule: long non-coding RNA, 1011 nt
Organism: Vombatus ursinus (common wombat)
Lineage: Eukaryota; Metazoa; Chordata; Mammalia; Diprotodontia; Vombatidae
Source: Ensembl